UUUCCGGUUGAUCCCGCCGGACCUGACUGCUAUCGGAUUGAUACUAAGCCAUGCGAGUCUUUGUAGUAAUACAAGGCAUACGGCUCAGUAACGCGUAGUCAACCUACCCUAUGGACAAGAAUAAUCUCGGGAAACUGAGCAUAAUUCUUGAUAGAUCAUAAUGCCUGGAAUGGUUUAUGGUUAAAAUGAUUCGUCGCCAUAGGAUGGGACUGCGGCCUAUCAGCUUGUUGGUGAGGUAAUGGCCCACCAAGGCGAUAACAGGUACGGGCUCUGAGAGGAGAAGCCCGGAGAUGGGUACUGAGACAAGGACCCAGGCCCUAUGGGGCGCAGCAGGCGAGAAAACUUUGCAAUGUGCGAAAGCACGACAAGGUUAGUCCGAGUGAUUUCUGCUAAAGAGAUCUUUUGCUAGUCAUAAAACCACUAGUGAAUAAGGGGUGGGCAAGUUCUGGUGUCAGCCGCCGCGGUAAAACCAGCACCUCAAGUGGUCAGGAUGAUUAUUGGGCCUAAAGCAUCCGUAGCCGGCUCUGUAAGUUUUCGGUUAAAUCUAUGCGCUCAACGUAUGGGCUGCCGAAAAUACUGCAGAGAUAGGGAGUGGGAGAGGUAGACGGUACUCGGUAGGAAGGGGUAAAAUCCUUUGAUCUAUCGAUGACCACCUGUGGCGAAGGCGGUCUACCAGAACACGUUCGACGGUGAGGGAUGAAAGCUGGGGGAGCAAACCGGAUUAGAUACCCGGGUAGUCCCAGCUGUAAACGAUGCAGACUCGAUGAUGCAUUGGCAUAUAGCCAGUGCAGUGUCGCAGGGAAGCCGUUAAGUCUGCCGCCUGGGAAGUACGUACGCAAGUAUGAAACUUAAAGGAAUUGGCGGGGGAGCACCACAAGGGGUGAAGCCUGCGGUUCAAUUGGAGUCAACGCCGGG
RNAcentral lists this ribosomal RNA (915 nucleotides) under uncultured archaeon. RNAcentral's name for it is "SSU rRNA". It matches the Rfam family "Archaeal small subunit ribosomal RNA", at positions 1 to 922 of the family's 1478-position model. The record is from RNAcentral.